Molecule: long non-coding RNA, 870 nt
Organism: Gigantopelta aegis
Lineage: Eukaryota; Metazoa; Mollusca; Gastropoda; Neomphalida; Peltospiridae
Exons: 3
Source: RefSeq, a predicted model, not a curated record
AUAAAAUGUGUGUGUGUACAUGUAUAUCAUUAUACGAGCGCAUUAGACAAACAUUAUACUUAAUCACGCACUAGAUCAGUGCUGAUGACGAAUAUAUAAAACUGUAUUUAGAUAUGUUUUACACCUGGUCAAUGGGGGAAAUGCAUAUAAAUGAUACAUUGUCGCUGUGUUGUUGGAGCAGCCACUAUGCCGGUAACAAUUUUCCUUUUGUAUUUUACAGACCAAGUGUUGAAAUACCUCACAGAGAGGACAUAUGAUAACUAUGGUUUAAACAACUCCCAGAUCAGGUUGCCAGGGUCUGGAUUCAAAAAUUAACGUUGCGGAAAGACACGGGCUUAGGAUGUGAUAAUAAUCCAGCUCAGAUUUCAAGAUAUCACUUGCCGGAUUCGUUUCGAGUUGUGAUGUGUCAUAGCCAGCUUUGUUUUGUAGAUCCACAUAGUCACGAUCACGGGACACACACACCUUCCCACCUGCGUCAUAUUGAAUUCUUAGUGGAACAAAAAUAACAGUUAAAACUUAAUACACAACUAUCCACAAGCACCAAACGCCUAGAGUUUGAGGAUUUAAAAAAACAUGGAACAUGGAAUAGGACAGUUGGUGUUGGUGUGAGUCAAAUCUUUUCACGGGUAGGCGGUAUCAUGGCACCAUUGGUUCUGUUGAUGCGCCGCGUGUCUCUUCCUGUUGCCGGAGACCAAAGGGAGACCACUGGAGGACACCUUAAAAAAGAAAGCGAAGGUCGAGUUUGUGGAAAUCCCCAAGCACGAGGAGGGCAGAUCGUUCGAGGCUAACAUCCCCGAAACAGAAACAAUAUCGUUUUUGUAGGGAAGCAGGCUGAUUUUUGCCCGAAUUAAAUAAACGUGCCCGAAUCUG